Molecule: ribosomal RNA, 292 nt
Filed under: uncultured bacterium
Lineage: Bacteria
Description: partial 16S ribosomal RNA
Rfam family: Bacterial small subunit ribosomal RNA
Source: RNAcentral
GUGCCAGCCGCCGCGGUAAUACGGGGGGGGCAAGCGUUGUUCGGAAUUACUGGGCGUAAAGCGCGUGUAGGCGGCUCUUCAAGUCGAGUGUGAAAGCUCCAGGCUUAACCUGGGAAUUGCGCUCGAUACUGUUGAGCUAGAGUGUGGAAGGGACUACUGGAAUUCCGUGUGUAGCGGUGAAAUGCGUAGAUAUCGUAAGGAAGACCAGUGGCGAAGGCGGGUCUCUGGAAAGUUCCUGACGCUGAGGCACGAAGGUCAGGGGAGCAAACGGGAUUAGAUACCCCGGUAGUCC